Molecule: ribosomal RNA, 468 nt
Filed under: uncultured bacterium
Lineage: Bacteria
Description: partial 16S ribosomal RNA
Rfam family: Bacterial small subunit ribosomal RNA
Source: RNAcentral
GACGAACGCUGGCGGCGUGCUUAACACAUGCAAGUCGAACGGACAGGCCCUGCUUUUGUGGGGUGCUCGAGUGGCGAACGGGUGAGUAACACGUGAGUAACCUGCCCUUGACUUUGGGAUAACUUCAGGAAACUGGGGCUAAUACCGCAUAGGAGCUCCUGCUGCAUGGUGGGGGUUGGAAAGUUUCGGCGGUUGGGGAUGGACUCGCGGCUUAUCAGCUUGUUGGUGGGGUAGUGGCUUACCAAGGCUUUGACGGGUAGCCGGCCUGAGAGGGUGACCAGCCACAUUGGGACUGAGAUACGGCCCAGAAGCCUACGGGAGGCAGCAGUGGGGAAUAUUGCACAAUGGGCGGAAGCCUGAUGCAGCAACGCCGCGUGCGGGAUGACGGCCUUCGGGGUGUAAACCGCUUUCGCCUGUGACGAAGCGUGAGUGACGGUAAUGGGUAAAGAAGCACCGGCUAACUACGUG